UACGGGGGGGGCAAGCGUUGUUCGGAAUUACUGGGCGUAAAGGGCUCGUAGGUGGCCAACUAAGUCAGACGUGAAAUCCCCAGGCUCAACUUGGGAACUGCGUCUGAUACUGGAUGGCUUGAAUUCGGGAGAGGGAUGCAGAAUUCCAGGUGUAGCGGUGAAAUGCGUAGAUAUCUGGAGGAGUACCGGUGGCGAAGGCGGCAUCCUGGACCGAGAUUGACACUGAUGAGCGAAAGCCAGGGGAGCAAACGGG
Molecule: ribosomal RNA, 253 nt
Filed under: uncultured bacterium
Lineage: Bacteria
Description: partial 16S ribosomal RNA
Rfam family: Bacterial small subunit ribosomal RNA
Source: RNAcentral